AAGUAAGACUAAUACCCAAUGAAUUCUCUAGAAGACAUCUGAAGGAGAUUAAAGAUUUAUCGGUGAUGGAUGGGGAUGCGUCUGAUUAGCUUGUUGGCGGGGUAACGGCCCACCAAGGCGACGAUCAGUAGGGGUUCUGAGAGGAAGGUCCCCCCACAUUGGAACUGAGACACGGUCCAAACUCCUACGGGAGGCAGCAGUGAGGAAUAUUGGUCAAUGGGCGAGAGCCUGAACCAGCCAAGUAGCGUGCAGGAUGACGGCCCUAUGGGUUGUAAACUGCUUUUAUAAGGGAAUAAAGUGAGCUUCGUGAGGCUUUUUGCAUGUACCUUAUGAAUAAGGACCGGCUAAUUCCGUGCCAGCAGCCGCGGUAAUACGGAAGGUCCGGGCGUUAUCCGGAUUUAUUGGGUUUAAAGGGAGCGUAGGCCGGAGAUUAAGCGUGUUGUGAAAUGUAGAUGCUCAACGUCUGCACUGCAGCGCGAACUGGUUUCCUUGAGUACGCACAAAGUGGGCGGAAUUCGUGGUGUAGCGGUGAAAUGCUUAGAUAUCACGAAGAACUCCGAUUGCGAAGGCAGCUCACUGGAGCGCAACUGACGCUGAAGCUCGAAAGUGCGGGUAUCGAACAGGAUUAGAUACCCUGGUAGUCCGCACGGUAAACGAUGGAUGCCCGCUGUUGGUCUGAAUAGGUCAGCGGCCAAGCGAAAGCAUUAAGCAUCCCACCUGGGGAGUAC
This 728-nucleotide ribosomal RNA is filed under the name uncultured bacterium. RNAcentral's name for it is "bacterial SSU rRNA". It matches the Rfam family "Bacterial small subunit ribosomal RNA", at positions 155 to 883 of the family's 1533-position model. The record is from RNAcentral.